Molecule: microRNA precursor, 84 nt
Filed under: Bombyx mori (domestic silkworm)
Lineage: Eukaryota; Metazoa; Arthropoda; Insecta; Lepidoptera; Bombycidae
Description: mir-2807 microRNA precursor family
Rfam family: mir-2807 microRNA precursor family
Source: Rfam by way of RNAcentral
UUAACUCAGAUUUGUAUGGAAUGGGGUCGUUUGCGUACGUUUGCCGCUAGGGGCGCUGUUCCAACUGCAUACAAACUUGGCUUA